RNAcentral lists this ribosomal RNA (497 nucleotides) under uncultured bacterium. RNAcentral describes it as "partial 16S ribosomal RNA". It matches the Rfam family "Bacterial small subunit ribosomal RNA", at positions 28 to 507 of the family's 1533-position model. The record is from RNAcentral.
GAUGAACGCUGGCGGCGUGCCUAAUACGUGCAAGUCGAGCGAACAGACGAGGAGCUUGCUCCUCUGACGUUAGCGGCGGACGGGUGAGUAACACGUGGAUAACCUACCUAUAAGACUGGGAUAACUUCGGGAAACCGGAUCUAAUACCGGAUAAUAUAUUGAACCGCAUGGUUCAAUAGUGAAAGACGGUUUUGCUGUCACUUAUAGGUGGAUCCGCGCCGCAUUAGCUAGUUGGUAAGGUAACGGCUUACCAAGGCAACGAUGCGUAGCCGACCUGAGAGGGUGAUCGGCCACACUGGAACUGAGACACGGUCCAGACUCCUACGGGAGGCAGCAGUAGGGAAUCUUCCGCAAUGGGCGAAAGCCUGACGGAGCAACGCCGCGUGAGUGAUGAAGGUCUUCGGAUCGUAAAACUCUGUUAUUAGGGAAGAACAAAUGUGUAAGUAACUAUGCACGUCUUGACGGUACCUAAUCAGAAAGCCACGGCUAACUACGUG